This 291-nucleotide non-coding RNA is filed under the name Symbiodinium microadriaticum. RNAcentral describes it as "Eukaryotic small subunit ribosomal RNA". It matches the Rfam family "Eukaryotic small subunit ribosomal RNA", at positions 1502 to 1805 of the family's 1831-position model. Lineage: Eukaryota; Dinophyceae; Suessiales; Symbiodiniaceae. The record is from Rfam by way of RNAcentral.
GGAGGAGAAUGUUCCCAACCUAAAGCACUAGAAGAGGAUCAACAUUCGAGUUAUAUUAUAUUGUCAGUAUAUACGGACUAUAAAGGGAUAUCCUUACAAAAUAGUGAGCGCGAGUCAUAAGCUCGUCCUGAUUAUGUCCCUGCUCUUUGUACGCCCCGCCCAUCGCUCCUACCGAUUGAGUGAUCCGGUGAAUUAUUCGGACUGACACAGUGCUCACCUUCUGGAUGUUGUAAUGGAAAGUUUUAUGAAUCUUAUCACUUAGAGGAAGGAGAAAUCGUAUCAAGCUUGAUG